CCUACGGGAGGCUGCAGUGAGGAAUAUUGGUCAAUGGACGAGAGUCUGAACCAGCCAAGUAGCGUGAAGGAUGACUGCCCUAUGGGUGGUAAACUUCUUUUAUAAAGGAAUAAAACGAGGCACGUGUGCCUUUUUGCAUGUACUUUAUGAAUAAGGAUCGGCUAACUCCGUGCCAGCAGCCGCGGUAAUACGGAGGAUCCGAGCGUUAUCCGGAUUUAUUGGGUGUAAAGGGAGCGUAGAUGGGUUGUUAAGUCAGUUGUGAAAGUUUGCGGCUCAACCGUAAAAUUGCAAUUGAUACUGGCAGUCUUGAGUAUAGUUGAGGUAGGAGGAAUUCGUGGUGUAGCGGUGAAAUGCUUAGAUAUGACGAAGAACCCCGAUUGCGAAGGCAGCUUACUAAACUGUGACUGACAUUGAUGCUCGAAAGUGUGGGUAUCAAACAGGAUUAGAUACCCGAGUAGUC
Molecule: ribosomal RNA, 460 nt
Filed under: uncultured bacterium
Lineage: Bacteria
Description: partial 16S ribosomal RNA
Rfam family: Bacterial small subunit ribosomal RNA
Source: RNAcentral